GUGCUGGUCCAUAUCUUGUAUAACGCAUUUGUGUAUGUCAUGGCGGUAGAUAAAGGGAAGCCUAGCAUUGUGCCUUCUAUAUUGGACAGAAUUCAUACUGGUAAUGUGGAAAUAAAAAUUCUGCUUUACCAAGGAGGCUGGACAGGGUGCCGCGGAAGUCCCAGGUUGUGCCUUACCACUCCCAAAAGGUUUGAAAAAAAACAAACCUCAAAAGAGACCAGGAAAGGUGCUU
Pelobates cultripes (western spadefoot toad) is the source of this 232-nucleotide non-coding RNA. The record is from the annotation of a GenBank genome assembly. Lineage: Eukaryota; Metazoa; Chordata; Amphibia; Anura; Pelobatidae.